UACGUAGGGGGCCAGCGUUGUCCGAAGUUACUGGGCGUAAAGAGCGCGUAGGCGGGCCCUUAAGUGGGGGGUGAAAGGUUGGGGCUCAACCCCAACACUGCCUUUCAUACUGGGGGCCUUGAGUGCGGGAGAGGUGAGUGGAAUGGUCGGUGUAGCGGUGAAAUGCGUAGAUAUCGAUCGGAACACCCAUGGCGAAGGCAGCUCGCUGGCCUGCAACUGACGCUGAGGCGCGAAAGCCGGGGGAGCGAACAGG
Molecule: ribosomal RNA, 253 nt
Filed under: uncultured bacterium
Lineage: Bacteria
Description: partial 16S ribosomal RNA
Rfam family: Bacterial small subunit ribosomal RNA
Source: RNAcentral